Long non-coding RNA from Hemicordylus capensis (graceful crag lizard), 2146 nucleotides. RefSeq lists it as uncharacterized. The transcript is spliced from 3 exons. The record is from RefSeq and is a predicted model, not a curated record. NCBI's taxonomy places the organism in Eukaryota, Metazoa, Chordata, Lepidosauria, Squamata, Cordylidae.
GCGACGCUUGUGCCGAGAAGACCGAUGUGGCUGCGUCUCCCGCAGCAGGCCGUCUCUCCUCUAAAACUUGGGAAGGCGCCGUGCCGUCGCCCCGGGUGUAGAAUCAGUGCCUCUUAUUUCUCACUCCCUCCUUCUCCGUGAUGCUUAGACGACUAAGUUUGGAUCCUGUGCUAUGUCUACUGGGAAGUGAACUCCACUAGCUGUUUCACAGAUGUCUUCAGGAAACGGGAAAGAUAUAAAUGUUUGAGGCUUUUAAAAAAAAUCACCUUUUUGGUAAUGUCUACGGAUGGAAAGGCAAGUUAUGUUGAAGUAUUUUAGCUUAUUUUUAUUUUAUCUUUGCAUUUUGUAAGCCACCUCAUGUGAGAAAGGUGGGGUAUAAAUACUGAAAUAAACAUUUUAACAAAAUGAAUAGCAUAUAAGAAAUUACUUUGUUUUCCCCAUUCCCACUAAUAUUUAUCCUUUCCUACAAACUAUUAAGAUUACUAGUAAAAACUCUCAACAAAAAUACCCUUAAUUGCGCAAAAAAAGAAAAAAGCUGGUAAACAUAAAAGCAUAAGACAUUUUGAUGUAACACACCACCUUCAAUUAAAUAAAUGAGCACAGAUGAAAACCUCCUCUUUUCCCCAGCUGUUCCUUAGAGGUGAUAACAUUCUGUUCCAUGACUUGCAGAGAGAUAGUGGGUGGGGUGGAGGAGAGAAAAGGAAUCACCUGAUUAUUCUCAGAGGCUAAUAAACUUUAUGGCAUUGGCCAACGCCUCCCGAGCAUUAAUGUCAGGUCUCAAUUUCUCUAUAAAUAAUACUUCCUUGAUUUUCCUUCUGUGUAGGUUCCUCUCAAACCCCAGAAUAGAUUCUUUAGUAGGCACCAUUUGGCCUUCAUGCUUAAUCCUCAUGUGCAGUGACCAGUGUUUCAUUUUCUGUGCACAAUGCCUCAUAUCUGCUAGAUGUUCUUUAUAGCUAUCUUUCAAGGAUUACGCAAUAUAGAAUGUAAAAACCCAAAAUGUCUUGCUACAUUUUUAACAAUAAAUAGAGAGAUGUUGCUCCUUUAUAGAGCAGGUUCCAGAUGUCUUCCCUUAAGUAGUACUGCUGUUGUCGCAAAUAAAUUAAAGUGUGCCGUCGAGUCGGUGUCAACUCCUGGCAACCACAGAGCCCUGUUGUUGUCUUUUGGAGACUACUGAAGGGGUUUACCAUUGCCAUCUCCUGUGCAAUAUGAAAUGAUGCCUUUCAGCAUCUUCCUAUAUAUCACUGCUGCCCAAUAUAGGUGUUCCCCAUAAUCUGGGAAACAUACCAGUGGGGAUUCGAACCGGCAACCUCUGGCUCGCUAGUCAAGCCGUUUCCUUGCUUCGCCAUUGCAUUGUAAAAGCAUAAAAAGAUAUUUUAGGGGAAAUGUGGAUCUCCCCAAGAAAGCUUGUUAUAUAUAUCAUGGUUGUUUGCUUAUCAAAUGCACCUGACCUAUCCUUAUUAAUCAAAUAGUGAAUGAUGAGAAGCAACAAAACUCUACUCCACUAUCCACUCUGACACUUUGAAACAUUUAUUUUAACUAGCAACAUGCUCACCAAGGGAUGGGAAUGCAUAUUGAGGGCUUAAGCCGGAAUGGCUGUUUCCAUAAUGUCAGUGCUGAGUCAACAUUGUUGACUGUGCUUGGAGGAGUGGGGAGGCUUAUCCCCAGUUGCCCCAAAUCCUGGGAAAUGUGGGCCUGCCUUCCAAAGAGAUGUAUUCUAAGAACAUAAGAAUGACCCAUCCUGUUUCACACAGUGGCCCACCAGAUGCCACUGGGAGCCUACAGGCAGGAGUUGAGGACAUGCCCUCUCUCCUGCUGUUACUCCCCUGAAACUGGUACUCUGAGGCUGGAGAUGGCCUAUAGCCCUCCAACUAGUAGCUGUUGAUAGACCUCCUCUAUGAAGUUAUCAAAAGCCCUUUUAAAGCCAUCCAGGUCCUCUUAAAGCCAUCCACCACAUCUUGUGGCAGAAAAUUCCACAAGUUGAUUAUGCAUUGUGUGAAAAAGUACUUCCGUUUGUUGGUCUUAAAUUUCGUGGCAAUCAAUUUCAUGGGAUGACCGUUGGUUCUAGUGUUAUGUGUGAGAGAGAAAAAUUUCUCUCUAUCCACUUUCUCCACACCAUGCAUAAUUUUAUAGACCUCUAUCAUGUCUC